UCAAUGUCUGAGGAUGGAAAGGAGCAAUUAAAGAAACUCACUGAGUUGAAACAGUCUCUGGCAACUAGUUUGGAUCAAGAAACGAAGAAAAAUGACAAAUUGUGAAAAGAGCUUACUGGAUUGAUGAUCUGGCAGCACAGCUGGAAUCUGCCUCUUCAGAGUGUCUAUAUCUGGAUUCCAAAACACAAGUUCUUCAACAGAAAUUACUGUCUAUGAAAGGAAUGCAAAGGGGAUGUGAAGAACUAGAGAUGCAUUAAGAGAAGUUGGAACAGGAAGUAGCAAACCUAAAACACCACAUAGAAAUGAAUAAGGCACAGGCAGCAUCUCAAGAAAAAAUGGUCCAGUUUUGGGAGAGUAAGUAUGUUUCAAUGAGAAGUCAGAUGGAACUCAAAAUGAGAGAUCUGGAAUCUGAACUCUCCAAAGCAAAAAGUUUUCACUAAUAUUCUAAUAAAUCAGGAUUGGAAACAUAUAAGUGACUCUACCUAGAAGAACAAAAUUUUAGAAAGUGAUUGGAAAAUAUAAUGAACAAAUUUUUUUCAGUUAUCAAAAACAUGCUGAUGUGGGCCUUUCACAAAAGCAAAGUAACAUCAAGUAGACUUUUGAAAAGUGGGGGAUACGUGUAGCCGCCUCUGCAGCUGUUUCCGUUCUUCUUGAUCACCAAGUGGACGCUCUCAUCCUUCCCUUGAGGCUGUUGAUCUGAAUUAUUCCUCAGGGCCACAUGCUUGACUUCUCCAAGUGGAAACGCUUAAAGCAAACUGCAGGUGUGUUCUCUUUAUUAACGUUGGACCUCAAACUACUUCCUUCAUCUGAAUGCCAUCCUCACCUAGACAUCAACAUAAAGGUCUCCAAAGUACAUAUUUAGGAAAAGAGCUUUGGGCAGAAAAGACAGUCAUCUUACACUGAUUCACCAGGAGUUGCAAGAAAAUAUAAGUAGAGAACUAGCAAGAGUCGAGAGUAUGCGAUUCUUCAGGGUGGCCUGUGUCACCUUCCACUUGUCAUUCCAGUGCUUGUCACAGCAGCUUAGCACCUGGAUGUGGAGUAAAUGAAUGGGGAAUGAGAAAACCAGAAGCUCCAGUACUCAGCCUCAAGAGCAGUUAGCUCAGCAUGUAACCACGGGGACAAAUGCUGCUGCUGAAUUUGAAUCUGGAUCCUACGGAGCUUCUCCUCCAAGGUCUACCGAUGAUCAGCUUGUGAAAGCAUCCCAAGAAUAUGCACAGAUUCUGAAGAAAAAUUAUAUGAUCUGAAAGAUAAACAGUUGUUUCCCAUUAAAACAAAAUGUGAAAAUUUUUAUGAAAGGAAAAUACGUUUGUAUCAUCUGUGUAUGAUGAGAAUGUAUGUAGUAUUUUAUACCAUGUUUCUCUGCAUCUAACUUACUUUUAAGCAGAUUUUGUGAAUAAAAACCAGCACAGUUGAGUUUGACAUA
Molecule: non-coding RNA, 1423 nt
Organism: Sus scrofa (pig)
Lineage: Eukaryota; Metazoa; Chordata; Mammalia; Artiodactyla; Suidae
Source: RefSeq, a predicted model, not a curated record